Molecule: long non-coding RNA, 996 nt
Filed under: Homo sapiens (human)
Lineage: Eukaryota; Metazoa; Chordata; Mammalia; Primates; Hominidae
Description: non-protein coding lnc-POLE3-7:1
Source: RNAcentral
AGAGCAUGCCAGCCACCAGCACACCAGCAUCCGGCACCUUCACAAAUCUCAGCACAACCCUGGGCAAGUUAUUCCACUUCUCUGGACUUCGGUCCUCCCAUCCAUACAAGAAGAGAAAACAUCUGGGUUUUGCUAGGAGCCCUUCCACCGGAACAGUCCAAGAUCCCGCGACUCUUUCAUGUCAAGCCUCGGAGGGCUUCUGGGCUGCAGGAGCACAAAGGGAGCCCCUCCAGGUACAGGAGUCCAGAGUUAGGGCUGAAAGGAGAGGAAAUUGGCUGCCCUGCUUGACUGACCACACAGAGGCUCUGAUGCCACCAAACUGCUUGAGAACAGCUCUCCUCCCAGAGCGCUGGUCCUGUGUCCUGCCCACCGACCCAGUUUCUUUCUUGGUCUAGCAUUUGGAGCGCAUCAUGAACCAGCAGAGCACUGGCUAAUCGCGAGCCAGGGAACUUGCUUCAGUGGGGGAACCACGGUGACCUGCAAUGCCCAUCUUUCUACCUGUGGGCUCCCGGGAUAUGAAGGGUGGUAAAGACUGGCUCUGAUGAGCAGAGCAGGCUCAGGUCACCCUGGAUGGAGCCCUGGGUUGCUCCCCAGAGGCCUGGGUUCUAGCCACAGACAUAGGACCUCAUUUUCUCCUUCUGGACAGUGAGUAGUUUGAUCCAGAGAGUCUGUGGGGUCUCUUUACACUGUAGCAGGUGGUGGCUCCAGGAGCAGAUAAGAACAAAUUACACAUAGGGUAGAGCAUGGAAGAGCUGUGUGUCUUCAGCAGGAUGACAAUUCCCUCUGCUGCCUGCACCCUCAUCAAGAACAGAAUUACCUUUCAGACCCGUUGCUUUCUAAAUGGAAGAGGAAGGAAGGAGAAGGCAGAUCACCCUCGACCAAGCUCAAGGGAGGGGUGGCAUCUGGCGGGAAGGGCACUGCCCCCGCACCCUCCCCCAUUGGGCACUGCCCACUGCCAGAAGGUGGUGUAGCUUACAGGUUAGAAUAAUCAGGCUG